AAUAUUACCAAUCACAUAUUGAGUCAGUAUACACCAUUUAAGGUCAUUUAAGGUCAUCUAAAGCCCAAUAUGGUUAAUGAGAACCAGCAGUCAAGGGUAACUAUUGAGUUUUAAGAAAAAAUGGUAAAAUAUCGUCGCUUGUCCCAGGAAGAGCGCCUCCGUGCUGUUUUCAUGGCA
Molecule: non-coding RNA, 177 nt
Organism: Hydra vulgaris (swiftwater hydra)
Lineage: Eukaryota; Metazoa; Cnidaria; Hydrozoa; Anthoathecata; Hydridae
Source: RefSeq, a predicted model, not a curated record